This 71-nucleotide transfer RNA is filed under the name Percina kusha (brindled darter). Its description in RNAcentral is "tRNA-Trp". It matches the Rfam family "tRNA". Rfam says of the family: Transfer RNA (tRNA) molecules are approximately 80 nucleotides in length. Their secondary structure includes four short double-helical elements and three loops (D, anti-codon, and T loops). Lineage: Eukaryota; Metazoa; Chordata; Actinopteri; Perciformes; Percidae. The record is from RNAcentral.
AGAGACUUAGGCUAACCCAAGACCAAGGGCCUUCAAAGACCUAAGCGAGAGUGAGAAUCUCUCAGUCCCUG